UAGGGAAUAUUGCACAAUGGGCGAAAGCCUGAUGCAGCAACGCCGCGUGCGCGAUGAAGGCCUUCGGGUCGUAAAGCGCUUUUCGGGGAGAUGAGGAAGGACAGUAUCCCCGGAAUAAGGCUCGGCUAACUACGUGCCAGCAGCCGCGGUAAAACGUAGGAGCCAAGCGUUAUCCGAAUUCACUGGGCGUAAAGCGCGUGCAGGCGGCAUGAUAAGUUGGAUGUGAAAUCUCCUGGCUCAACUGGGAGGGGACGUUCAAUACUGUCA
Molecule: ribosomal RNA, 267 nt
Filed under: uncultured bacterium
Lineage: Bacteria
Description: partial 16S ribosomal RNA
Rfam family: Bacterial small subunit ribosomal RNA
Source: RNAcentral